Non-coding RNA from Phrynosoma platyrhinos (Desert horned lizard), 72 nucleotides. Lineage: Eukaryota; Metazoa; Chordata; Lepidosauria; Squamata; Phrynosomatidae. The record is from the annotation of a GenBank genome assembly.
GGCAGUGUGGCAUAGCAUUUUGAGUGUUGGACUACAACUCUGAUGACCAGGGUUCAAUUCCCUGCCCGACCA